RNAcentral lists this unclassified non-coding RNA (599 nucleotides) under Hevea brasiliensis (rubber tree). The record is from RNAcentral. Lineage: Eukaryota; Viridiplantae; Streptophyta; Magnoliopsida; Malpighiales; Euphorbiaceae.
AGAAUCUACACAAGCAGAUCCAAUUCUCUUCUCCAUUUCUGCCUCCUUUCUUCCUAAACCCUAGCCCUAGUUCUCUCCCUAUUUGGGAAUUUCAUUUCUUCGCUUUGAAAUGGCCACUGAAGAACCAGUCAUCGUUAACGAGGUUGUUGAAGAGCAAGCCGCUCCUGAAACUGUCAAGGAUGAGGCAAACCCUCCGGCCAAGUCUGGAAAAGCAAAAAAAGAGACCAAGGCGAAGAAGCCUGCUGCACCAAGGAAGAGAAGCGCUACUCCGACUCAUCCUCCUUACUUUGAGAUGAUUAAGGAUGCGAUUGUGACAUUGAAAGAGAGAACUGGAUCCAGCCAGCACGCUAUUACCAAGUUCAUUGAGGAAAAGCAGAAGAGUCUACCAUCUAAUUUCAAAAAAUUGUUGCUUACCCAGUUGAAGAAGUUUGUUGCUUCUGAGAAGCUGGUGAAAGUUAAGAACUCUUACAAGCUUCCAUCAGGUUCUAAGCCUGCUGCUGCUGCUGUCCCGGCGAAGAAGAAGCCUGCUGCAGCAAAGUCAAAGCCUGCUGCGAAACCAAAAGCCGCCGUCAAGCCCAAGGCAAAGCCCGCUGCCAAGG